UGGGGAAUAUUGGACAAUGGGCGGAAGCCUGAUCCAGCCAUGCCGCGUGUGUGAAGAAGGCCUUUUGGUUGUAAAGCACUUUAAGCGAGGAGGAGGCUCUUCUAGUUAAUACCUAGGAUGAGUGGACGUUACUCGCAGAAUAAGCACCGGCUAACUCUGUGCCAGCAGCCGCGGUAAUACAGAGGGUGCGAGCGUUAAUCGGAUUUACUGGGCGUAAAGCGUGCGUAGGCGGCUGAUUAAGUCGGAUGUGAAAUCCCUGAGCUUAACUUAGGAAUUGCAUUCGAUACUGGUCAGCUAGAGUAUGGGAGAGGAUGGUAGAAUUCCAGGUGUAGCGGAGAAAUGCGUAGAGAUCUGGAGGAAUACCGAUGGCGAAGGCAGCCAUCUGGCCUAAUACUGACGCUGAGGUACGAAAGCAUGGGGAGCAAACAGG
This 430-nucleotide ribosomal RNA is filed under the name Pseudomonadota bacterium. RNAcentral's name for it is "Proteobacteria bacterium partial 16S ribosomal RNA". It matches the Rfam family "Bacterial small subunit ribosomal RNA", at positions 355 to 776 of the family's 1533-position model. Lineage: Bacteria; Pseudomonadati; Pseudomonadota. The record is from RNAcentral.